RNAcentral lists this ribosomal RNA (301 nucleotides) under Pseudomyrmex aff. flavicornis-b MAS-2013. RNAcentral's name for it is "eukaryotic LSU rRNA". Lineage: Eukaryota; Metazoa; Arthropoda; Insecta; Hymenoptera; Formicidae. The record is from RNAcentral.
CGAUACCGUGAAGAAAAGUUGAAAAGUACUUUGAAGAGUUAACGAGUACGUGAAACCGUUCAGAGGUAAACCUAAGAAACCCAAAAAAUCGAACGGGGAGAUUCAUCGUCAACGAAACUGGCUUCGCGUCGGUGGGCGAUAACCCCGCGGUGUGUCCUAAGCGGCACGCGCGUGCGGGCACGUNNCCGAACGCCGAUGUCCGGUUUUCGUCGUCGUGCACUUCUCUCCUAGUAGAACGUCGCGACUCGCUGUGUGUCGGUCACCGACCCGGGUGCGGUUACUGUCACGUCGCCCGUAAAAA